AUUGAACGCUGGCGGCAGGCCUAACACAUGCAAGUCGAACGGUAACAGGAAGAAGCUUGCUUCUUUGCUGACGAGUGGCGGACGGGUGAGUAAUGUCUGGGAAACUGCCUGAUGGAGGGGGGUAAACAAUUGAAAAGGGAAGCUAUUACCCAAUACCGCCGCAAAACCAAAGAGGGGGACUUCCGGGCUCUUUGCAACCGGAUGGGCCCAGAUGGGAUUAGCUAGUAGGUGGGGUAACGGCUCACCUAGGCGACGAUCCCUAGCUGGUCUGAGAGGAUGACCAGCCACACUGGAACUGAGACACGGUCCAGACUCCUACGGGAGGCAGCAGUGGGGAAUAUUGCACAAUGGGCGCAAGCCUGAUGCAGCCAUGCCGCGUGUAUGAAGAAGGCCUUCGGGUUGUAAAGUACUUUCAGCGGGGAGGAAGGGAGUAAAGUUAAUACCUUUGCUCAUUGACGUUACCCGCAGAAGAAGCACCGGCUAACUCCGUG
Molecule: ribosomal RNA, 491 nt
Filed under: uncultured bacterium
Lineage: Bacteria
Description: partial 16S ribosomal RNA
Rfam family: Bacterial small subunit ribosomal RNA
Source: RNAcentral